Molecule: ribosomal RNA, 403 nt
Filed under: Verrucomicrobiota bacterium
Lineage: Bacteria; Pseudomonadati; Verrucomicrobiota
Description: Verrucomicrobia bacterium partial 16S ribosomal RNA
Rfam family: Bacterial small subunit ribosomal RNA
Source: RNAcentral
UGGGGAAUAUUGCACAAUGGGCGCAAGCCUGAUGCAGCAACGCCGCGUGAAGGAUGAAGGUCUUCGGAACGUAAAGUUCUGUUGCAGGGGAAGAUAAUGACGGUACUCUGUGAGGAAGCCCCGGCUAACUACGUGCCAGCAGCCGCGGUAAUACGUAGGGGGCUAGCGUUAUCCGGAUUUACUGGGCGUAAAGGGUGCGUAGGUGGUCUUUCAAGUCGGUGGUUAAAGGCUACGGCUCAACCGUAGUUAGCCUCCGAAACUGGAAGACUUGAGUGCAGGAGAGGAAAGUGGAAUUCCCAGUGUAGCGGUGAAAUGCGUAGAUAUUGGGAGGAACACCAGUAGCGAAGGCGGCUUUCUGGACUGCAACUGACACUGAGGCACGAAAGCGUGGGUAGCAAACAGG